CUGUUUUGCAUACUGGUGGUGACAAGUCGAGGCUUGUUCAUUUGACACAGUCCUGUGGUCACAGCCAGUCUUUCUGUAGCUCUAACCAGUGGAGAAGGGGGUUGUCUGGAUCCUCUGAACUCUUGAGUGGAACUUCCUGAAUGAUUUAUUGGAGAAAAACCUUCCUGGAAGCAGCAGAAGAACAAACACAGAAUCCCUGGCUGGGCAGAGCCUCGUGGGCUGGCCUCCACCAUUCGGGAGCAGUUGCAUCUUGGAGGCCUGAUCUCUGGACCAGAAAGGAAUUAAAAAGAUGCCCCCUCAAGAUGGCCGCUCCUGUCAGCUGCGUGGAGCGUCCUUCAAGGCUAUGCUGAACCUUAUGGAUUUACAGUGAUACCCGGCCGCCUGGGAAUAACACUGGUGGAAGCAGUGUCCUGAGUGACCCACACCUGCCGCACCUCUGGAUGCUCUCCGUGGUUUUAAGGAAGGCCCUGGCGGCAUCCGCGUGGUUUCCUGCAGCCCGUGUGCCUCAUCUCCGACAGGAACGUUUGGCUGGGUCUCUGCCGGCUGUCCUGGGGGCUCCUGUGAAACGCGCAGUGCCUUCCUCGGAACACAGCAGUAAGCCCGCCGGCUACUCCAGCCCUGCCUAGAUUCCCAGGAAAUCGGCAGGAAGAGAACCACCUGCUGCUCGCUGGCCUGCUGUUUCCUGGCAGUAGCUGUGGGAACACCCAGGGGCGGAGGACAAACACAUUACACACGGGGACUUCCAUCCUCCAGGCGGAAAGAUGCCUGCACCUUGCACUUGCUUGCUGGCUGGAAACGGACUGAAAGUGGCGAAGGUGGAAGCAGACGGACCAGUCAGGAGGCCGCUGCAGAGAUCCAGGGAGGGGAUGAUGGCGGCCUGGAUGGACGCGUGGCUGCAGAGGAGACUGCGAGAAGUCACCAGGCCAGAGACCCAGGGAGAUGGGGGAGAGGCUUGACGUGGACCUCUGAGAUGGUCACAUGCAGCUGACACUGUCAUCUGGGCAGAUCUGACUUCACUGAUUGACUCAAUUGUACGAGCCAAUCGACCCAGCAGCUGGGACGGGACUCCUGAUCUGACAGCCACUGAUUCCGGAGGAAGGGGCAGUGGCGGGUCCCGCGGCCAGAGGCCAGAGCUCCCUGCAGACGAAGCUCCAGUGUGGAUGGAGGAGGUCGGAGUGACCACACGAUUCAGCCUCCUAGCAUCACCUGCCAAACACAGGACCAAACGUGCAGAGGAACUGUGUAUGUCCUAAAACUGCAGGUGCCUGAGAGCAGGGAGACGGUACAAGACUGGGUGAGGUGAGGUGCUUUCUCCUUAGUGCUGACUCAGUAAAUGUUUGUGGGAUGAUUGAGUGAGUCUGAUGAACAGCUCCUGGACUCUUUAAGAGUUUAGACAGGGAUCCUCGGAAAAAGCAGCAAACCCUAGGACCUUCUCAUGGGAAGGUGACCUUCCUGGACAGCAGUUAUGCUCCCCAGCUGGCAUGGGGCAGGGAGGGAGGGACUCCUGAGCCAACAGACACUUCUUCAGUUCAAAUUCCACCGAAGUUAAAAUUUCAUUGCUGUCUUUCUUUUCCUUGCGUCACCACUGGCUCUACUUCUGUCGAUUCUGAAUAUUUGUUUUCUUUAAACAACUUAGUGGAGAUAGAAUUCACAUACCGUGCAAUUAAUUUAUCAGUCUUAGAACUUUUUCACCACCUUAAAAAGGAAUCUUGUCCCCUUUAGCUGUCCCUUCCCCAUCCCCCUUCCACCCCCAAUCCUGAACAACCUGCGGUCCACUCCCUGUUGCUAUGGACUCGCCUUUUCUGGCCGUUCCAUGUAAGUGGAGCCAUACAGCAUGUGGUCUUUUGUGACUGGCUUCUUUCACUUGGCACGAUGGUUUCAAGGUUCAUCCACAUUGUCUCCUGUCUGUACUUCAUGCCUCUUCAUGCCCGGACAGUGUCCCACUGUAUGGGUGUAUACCGCAUUUUAUUCAUUCAUCAGUUGAUGGACGUUGGGUUUUUCCUUUUUGGGGGUGGUAUUGUGAAUAAUUGUGCUCUGAAUGCCCAAGGUUGUGUGUGGAUGUAUGUUUCCACCUUUCUUGAGUAUACACACCUAGGAGUGGGAUUGCUGGGUCACGUGGUAACUCUGUGUGUUACCUUUUGAGGAGCUGCCGGACUGUCUUCUGAAGCGCCUGCUAACUGCCUAUUCUUGAGCACCAUUCGUGCCUCGUCAUGAAACAGAACACGAUCCCAUGUAUGUGGAUUUUCAGAGCACGCGAAAUGAAUCAGCGGUGCUAGAAGUCAGCCCACUGCUCGCCUCUGGCUUGGUGCCCUCCCCAGGACCGGUUUGUUCAUGGAAUAAUGGCAGUAUGGGCGUAUGGAAAGUACGUGGAGUUUGAAGAAGACAGACCUGGCUACCCCGAGGGGCCGAGUCUCCGUGGCUCUUUUGGAGCAGAUGUAACCAAGAAAUCAAUAGAGCUGUUAGAUUAAUCCAUGGCAACCAUAAUGUCACUGCAUCUCCUGCCCCGUGAUGUUGACAGAGAUGUCAGAGCCAGGAGGAGGGGAAGUACUUAAAAGAACGAACGGGGGCCUCUGCAGUGAAAGGGGGAAUUAAAACCCCACGGAGCCUCACUUAGCGGACUGGAAAUUGCAGGUGGCUGCCUCCGGCAUAAUCAGGUCUUCCUUCAGAGGAUGCAGCGGCUUGGCAUCGGGCUUAGCGGGAGCAUUGGGAGGUCCUUCGGGAAGAUGAAAUCAGCAGCAGUGGAGCAGCAGCCUGAGCUGAAAUCUCUCGUCUUUAGGUACCAGGUGCUCAGCAUCACCAGAGGUGGGGUGGGGGUGGGCAGAGCUCUUGUGGUGUCCUGCUUCCCACUGGCCUUUGAAAAUUAUGAUGAUUAUUAUGAAUAAUACCCCCCGACACAAGAGAGAGGGCAUCCCUUAUGAAUACAGGGUUUGCUUCGUGGAAGCACCCAGAGUAUGUUUGAAGGGUGAAUUUUGGUCCAGUCUACAGAGCACAUCCAGUUAGUGGACAACUGUGUAUUGAGUGCCUUCUAGGUGCCAGGUGCUGCUCUCGGUGCAGGGGAUAGUGACUAGGAACUCUGCAGCAGAUAAAAUACAGAAAAUCCGUGCCUCAGGGAGCUCAUAAUCUAGUGGGGACUAAGAAGCGAGCUAAGCGAUUCGCUUGCAUUUCCUCUCUCCUGCAGAGGUGGGCAGCCUACAGGAGUGCUACCCCUGCCAGAAUUUCCCUCUCCCUGGGGGGAGGGGGGGUGUUACUAGCGUCCAGUAGGUAGAGCCAGGGAUGCUACCAAACAUCCUGCCUUGCACAGGACAGCUCUGCCACGAAGACUCAUCCAGCCUGCAAUGCCAGCAGCGUCAAGGUGGAGAGAGAAAGGGCUGCUCAGCCAGUGUCUGUGUUUCCCAGCUUCCCACACGGCUGGGUGUGGCCACGUGGCUGGUUCUCGCCAAUGGCAUGUGACCAGGGGUGCUGUGCCCACACCCAGGUGCAAGGGCUUUUAAUAAGCCAGUGUGCCCUUUUCUGCUUCCUCAGGCUGGAUGAAGAGAACAACAACGUCCCAGGUGACAGUGGAAUGACCUGGGGCCCUAAGUCGCCAUCUGGGGAGAGCUGUCUGCCCAUCAGAGAUGCUGUCCUUGGACUGACAUGGGAAUAAGAAAUAAAACUCUGUGGUGUUUUAA
Camelus dromedarius (Arabian camel) is the source of this 3668-nucleotide long non-coding RNA. RefSeq lists it as uncharacterized. The record is from RefSeq and is a predicted model, not a curated record. NCBI's taxonomy places the organism in Eukaryota, Metazoa, Chordata, Mammalia, Artiodactyla, Camelidae. The transcript has 9 exons.